Long non-coding RNA from Malania oleifera, 1127 nucleotides. RefSeq lists it as uncharacterized. The record is from RefSeq and is a predicted model, not a curated record. Lineage: Eukaryota; Viridiplantae; Streptophyta; Magnoliopsida; Santalales; Ximeniaceae. The transcript has 2 exons.
UUGACUCAGCAUUAAUUGGGAAGGGGUAGUGGGAGACGCGUGUCAACGACCAUUAACACUCCUGGCUUCAUGCGAUCUCAACCGUUGAUGGGGAUUGCUGAUCCUACGGUGGCGCAGGAGACCUGCACGCGACUUGAUCUGAGGGAUCUGAACACGGCACGUGUUCAAAUCGGACAGCUUCGAGGGGAGCCAUAUUUAAACUCAAUUUUUUGCUUCGUUCAUUUUUCAUUUUUUGUUUUGAAAACUCAUCCCCUCUCUCUCGUGUCUCCCGCUUUUUCUCUUCUUCUGUUCCUCUCUCUUUUGAUACCCAUUUUCUUUGCAACCUGGAUCUCCAAGCACGAAACCUCAGGGUUUCAUGUUUUUUCCUCCUCUAUGCCCAACCUUGAACCUAGAAAACCUUAGAUCUGCUAGUCUCCAUCCUCUUAGAUCUCUCAUCCAUUGAAAACCAAACAACUCAACGAAUCCCUAGAUUUUCAAACCCUCUCAAUUUUUCCCUAUUCAUAGUGAGACAAAUCUGAAAGCCUCAUCUUGCUUUAUCUCAGGUCUCUGAAAUUUGAGAUGAGGGAGCUAUCCGAGCACCGGAGGGGCUCAGAGUGAGAGACCACUGGGUUCCGCAGGUUCAAGCCGGGGUGCAUUCGAAGCAGAGAGUGAUCCUGAGGGUCCAUGUGGCAGAUGAGGAAUGGAGGGCUUUCGGGAUGCUUCCAGAUGGCGGCACCAGGAUGGAGGGAAGGGCAACCUUGGUUUAUUUAUCUUUUGUGAUUUUCUUUUGCUAUUACUAACCAAUCUUAUUUUGCUUCUCAGUGUGCUGAGGUGAUCCAGAUGUCAGCGCAGGAGAGGAGGGCUUUUUGGAUGUCUCAGCUUGGCAAGCCCGGAUUGGAGCAUGGAGGGAUUAAACACUUGUUUCUUCUUUUUUUAUUUUGACUUUUAUAAUCAUUAUUGCGUGUUUGUUAUGCUUUGUGUACACGUAGGUAACCCCGAGCAAAUUUCCCUGCGGUUGUAGUUUGUACGGCUCCUUUGUAUUGUGACCUUUAGUUACACGCUCCCUGUAACUCUUGGGACAUUUAUAUUUCUGCAUGCUUGUGUGUACAUUGUACAUAUUCCCCAGUCAUAAAUUCCUUCUUGACCAA